UGCAGUCGAACGCUUCUUUCCUCCCGAGUGCUUGCACUCAAUUGGAAAGAGGAGUGGCGGACGGGUGAGUAACACGUGGGUAACCUACCCAUCAGAGGGGGAUAACACUUGGAAACAGGUGCUAAUACCGCAUAACAGUUUAUGCCGCAUGGCAUAAGAGUGAAAGGCGCUUUCGGGUGUCGCUGAUGGAUGGACCCGCGGUGCAUUAGCUAGUUGGUGAGGUAACGGCUCACCAAGGCCACGAUGCAUAGCCGACCUGAGAGGGUGAUCGGCCACACUGGGACUGAGACACGGCCCAGACUCCUACGGGAGGCAGCAGUAGGGAAUCUUCGGCAAUGGACGAAAGUCUGACCGAGCAACGCCGCGUGAGUGAAGAAGGUUUU
This 383-nucleotide ribosomal RNA is filed under the name Enterococcus faecalis. RNAcentral describes it as "bacterial SSU rRNA". It matches the Rfam family "Bacterial small subunit ribosomal RNA", at positions 56 to 418 of the family's 1533-position model. The record is from RNAcentral. Lineage: Bacteria; Bacillati; Bacillota; Bacilli; Lactobacillales; Enterococcaceae.